AACUUUGGACAAUGGGCGUAAGCCUGAUCCAGCCAUGCCGCGUGAGUGAAGAAGGCCUUCGGGUCGAAAAGCUCUUUCGCACGGAAAGAAAUCGCCCAGGCCAAUACCCCGCGCGGCUCCCGGUACCGGUAUAAGAAGCACCGGCUAACUACCUACCAGCAGCCGCGGUAAUACGGAGGGUGCGAGCGUUAAUCGGAAUUACUGGGCGUAAAGCAUGCGCAGGAGGUUGAUUAAGACAGGCGUGAAAUCCCCGGGCUUAACCUGGGAACUGCGCUUGUGACUGGUCAGCUAGAGUACGGCAGAGGGGGGUGGAAUGCCACGUGUAGCAGUGAAAUGCGUAGAGAUGUGGAGGAACACCGAUGGCGAAGGCAGCCCCCUGGGCCGAUACUGACGCUCAUGCACGAAAGCGUGGGUAGCAAACAGG
Molecule: ribosomal RNA, 424 nt
Filed under: uncultured bacterium
Lineage: Bacteria
Description: partial 16S ribosomal RNA
Rfam family: Bacterial small subunit ribosomal RNA
Source: RNAcentral